UCAUGAAGCUGGAAUUGCUAGUAAUGGCAGGUCAGCAUACUGCCGUGAAUACGUUCCCGGGCCUUGUACACACCGCCCGUCACACCAUGAGAGUUGGGAAUACCCGAAGCCUGUGAGCUAACUUAUAGAGGCAGCAGUCGAAGGUAGAAUCAAUGAUUGGGGUGAAGUCGUAACAAGGUACC
RNAcentral lists this ribosomal RNA (182 nucleotides) under uncultured bacterium. Its description in RNAcentral is "partial 16S ribosomal RNA". It matches the Rfam family "Bacterial small subunit ribosomal RNA", at positions 1318 to 1500 of the family's 1533-position model. The record is from RNAcentral.